AGCACAGUUGUUGGGUCAUAUGGUUACUGCCUAUUUCAUUGUUAAGGAACUAUGAGACUUUUCCAGAGUGGUUGUAUAAUUUUAUAUUCCCACCAACAAU
RNAcentral lists this microRNA precursor (100 nucleotides) under Marmota monax (woodchuck). The record is from RNAcentral. Lineage: Eukaryota; Metazoa; Chordata; Mammalia; Rodentia; Sciuridae.